UUCUCUCUCCCCCUCUCCAGCGGUUGCAGUGGUCCAGUCCAUCUCAGUGUUUGACCAGAGCAGACUGUUCAGUAUCCCUCUACCUGAGGCCCUGGGCUCAUCUGUCAGCUUCUCCUGUGUCCUCUAUAUCUAUCUACCUCUCAUGGUCAUCGGGCUUCUCAUCAAUUCCCGCCACCUGUACAAACAGAGAAGGAAGAGGUUCCGGACCAAGAAGAAGAAAUCUAACUGACCUCCAUCUUUUCUCAAAAUACACCUCUGCUGCCUGUCUGGUGACAUCUCAUCUAGGGUGGCGAAAUUCCAUUCAACAUUUCCAGAAAUCCCAGUUAGAAAAACAUUGGAAUUUUGCAACCCUCGUCUUGUAUUUUCUGUUGUAGUUGAUAAUAGCAGUAUGAUGUUUUCCUGCUGACAAAACGUCCUCGGGGUAAAUCGCAUAAGAUUUAUGUUUUGUCAUGUCAAUUAAUAUGCUGAAUAAAAACAUUAGCAGUUCCA
Long non-coding RNA from Salvelinus sp. IW2-2015, 489 nucleotides. RefSeq lists it as uncharacterized. The record is from RefSeq and is a predicted model, not a curated record. NCBI's taxonomy places the organism in Eukaryota, Metazoa, Chordata, Actinopteri, Salmoniformes, Salmonidae.